RNAcentral lists this ribosomal RNA (442 nucleotides) under uncultured bacterium. RNAcentral describes it as "partial 16S ribosomal RNA". It matches the Rfam family "Bacterial small subunit ribosomal RNA", at positions 338 to 795 of the family's 1533-position model. The record is from RNAcentral.
CCUACGGGAGGCAGCAGUAGGGAAUCUUUCACAAUGGGCGAAAGCCUGAUGGAGCAACGCCGCGUGCAGGAUGAAGGCCUUCGGGUUGUAAACUUCUUUUAUAAGCGAGAAAUAUGAUGGUAACUUAUUAAUACUGCUCGGCUAACUACGUUCCAGCAGCCGCGGUCAUACGUAGGAUCCGAGCAUUAUCCGGAGUGACUGGGUGUAAAGAGUUGCGUAGGUGGCAUAAUAAGUAGCUAGUGAAAUCUGGUGGCUCAACCAUUCAGACUAUUAGCUAAACUGUUAAGCUCGAGACCGUUAGGGGUAACUGGAAUUUCUAGUGUAGGAGUGAAAUCCGUAGAUAUUAGAAGGAACACCAAUAGCGUAGGCAGGUUGCUGGGACGGGUCUGACACUAAGGCACGAAAGCGUAGGGAGCAAACGGGAUUAGAUAUCCUAGUAGUC